GCCCUCGUAGCACAACGGAUAGUGCAGCGGCCUUCUAAUCCGCAGGUUGCAGGUUCGAGUCCUGCCGGGGGCACCA
RNAcentral lists this transfer RNA (76 nucleotides) under Actinomycetota bacterium. RNAcentral describes it as "tRNA-Arg". It matches the Rfam family "tRNA". Rfam says of the family: Transfer RNA (tRNA) molecules are approximately 80 nucleotides in length. Their secondary structure includes four short double-helical elements and three loops (D, anti-codon, and T loops). The record is from RNAcentral. Lineage: Bacteria; Bacillati; Actinomycetota.